CUAGAUGUCGCCUGCCAAAUGCAAUGACCUGUUGAUGGAGUAGUACCUGGGAGACAAUGAAGACCUCCACACCCUCCAAGUCCAAUUACAGAAGAUAAUGGACUUCUUGUUCAUGAUCUCUGAACACCAAAUAGUACAUUAUCAUUACUCUGAGGACCAUAUUGACAUCAAUAAUUGCACAACUGCAAGGAGGUUUAACUCCCAACCUUUCUUGAGGUCUUUCUUGAGAAUGGAACUAGAAGACAGAGGGGCUCAGGAUAAUUCAGAAUCUCCUAGAGGCACCUAAGACCUAGGAGUUCCCUGGAUCAGCCAGCCCUAAUUUCACAUCUUU
RNAcentral lists this long non-coding RNA (331 nucleotides) under Ictidomys tridecemlineatus (thirteen-lined ground squirrel). RNAcentral's name for it is "lncRNA (ENSSTOG00000033186.1)". The record is from RNAcentral. Lineage: Eukaryota; Metazoa; Chordata; Mammalia; Rodentia; Sciuridae.